AAGAGUGGCAAUUUACUAAAUUGCUUUGUUCCUGUUCGAGAUUUUCUAUUAAGGGAUUGUCUGUCCAGCCGGGCUCACGGCCGAAAACAUCUCAAAGUUCCCCAGACUCACUGAGAGGCUCUACGUUGGUGCUGGACUCCAGUCGGGAGGCAUCCUUGGGGAAACUACAGUCCCAGCCAUCAACUUCUACCUGCUCCCCUUCACCUGUGACAGCAAGAAGAGAGGCGGUGAAACUGGAGGCAGGGACUGCGGAGAGGUGACAGUGUCAGAGCCCAGAGCAGAAUCUGGUGUCUGCGGUGCCACAGAAGAUGCGGUUUCAAGGUCCAGGGCCUCGGAAUCGUGGAGGGAAGUCGGAGAGGGAAGAGGUCCAGAUCACAGCCAUGAACAUCAAAGCUGUUUAUAGAAGAGCCAAAAGGAUGGACCACACAGCCUAGGAACCAAAGGAUACAGGUCAAAAGACAGUAGGGGGCCAGCAAGAUGGCUCAGAAGGUAAAG
Long non-coding RNA from Phodopus roborovskii (desert hamster), 495 nucleotides. RefSeq lists it as uncharacterized. The record is from RefSeq and is a predicted model, not a curated record. The transcript is spliced from 4 exons. Lineage: Eukaryota; Metazoa; Chordata; Mammalia; Rodentia; Cricetidae.